ACAGGUAUCCACUCGGAUCUGAUCUAAAAUGCUUUCUCUAGAACUAAUCUACCUUCUCCAAGGCAGACCUGAGGGCUCUUGAUUAGCAAUCGUUCUGAUCUCCGAAGCUAUUGGAACAACUUUUGUCGCAACCCUUUCUUCCUUCAGUGGGAUGAUGCCUGAACACCUUCCAGCACUUCGAGGAUCAUCCCAACAUCUUUGGGCGUGGGA
RNAcentral lists this long non-coding RNA (210 nucleotides) under Elaeis guineensis (African oil palm). RNAcentral's name for it is "long non-coding RNA (EGUI_LNC056168)". Lineage: Eukaryota; Viridiplantae; Streptophyta; Magnoliopsida; Arecales; Arecaceae. The record is from RNAcentral.